RNAcentral lists this long non-coding RNA (1369 nucleotides) under Homo sapiens (human). RNAcentral's name for it is "HSALNT0366117". The record is from RNAcentral. Lineage: Eukaryota; Metazoa; Chordata; Mammalia; Primates; Hominidae.
CUCCGCGGGGCGCCGGCGUCUGCGCCAAGGCACGUUCUCCUGCUGCUCCAGAACUGCCACCUUCCAAGUCCUGAAGGAGGCCGUUUUCCUGUCAUUUGCACCUGGCCGGAGCCAUUCUGGAUGUUUUAAGGAAACGAGAAAACCAUUCUUUCCUCUUACCGGAUGAUGUGCGAUGUCAUUUGGAAACAAAGAAGGGCUCUGUUUCUUGGAGCCCCUGGGUUCUGUCUGCAAGAGGGGCAGUCAUGAGGCUUGCAAGAAUCUCCUGUGCGAACCUCUUCUGUGCAGACACCUUCCCACCCAACCUCAACAGAGCCCUGUGGGCCUCCCACGCUGUGUAAGUGCGCGGACUCAUCUGAGUGCCACUAGGGGACACAGCCCAGAUUCAAGCUGGGAUCCCCAUAAUAUGUGCACCUGCAGCCAGGUGUGCCUAUAGAACCACAAAUGCGACAGGCUGUAAAUGAAAAUACAGCAGAAUCAGAUCUGUCCAAUAAAUCCUGAUUGAAGGCCAGAACUGAAAGUAUUUCUUCUGAGGCUGAGAAAAAUUCCAUCUCAAACAUUGAAAGGGUAGAAAUAGGCAGUGAAGUCCUAGUGCCUGCUCUGUUUGGCCUUUCUGGGUUAAAAACAUACUUAAAAUUGAGUGACUCUGUUGUGGAAUAAAAUCCAAACAAUCUGGGUUGAAAAAGACUGCUUAGGGGUGUGUGGGUCACAGUGAUGCUAAGGGUAUUCUUUUUUUUUUUUUUUUUUUUUUUUGAGACGGAGUCUUGCUGUUUCGCCCAGGCCAGAGUGCAGUGGCGCUGUCUUGGCUCACUGCAAGCUCUGCCUCCCAGGUUCAUGCCAUUCUCCCGCCUCAGCCUCCCGAGUAGCUGGGACUACAGGCGCUUGCCACCGCGUCCGGCUAAUUUUUUGUAUUUUUAGUAGAGACGGGGUUUCACCAUGUUCGCCAGGAUGGUCUCGAUCUCCUGACCUCGUGAUCUGCCCGCCUCGGCCUCCCAAAGUGCUGGGAUUACAGGCAUGAGCCACUGCGCCCGGCCCGCUAAGGGUAUUCUUGAUAUCCGCUGGGAUAAUGUGACCACAGGACACCUUGCUUGCUUUCUCCAAGAAUCUCAAGAAGACUACAAACCCCAAGAAGGGAGGCAUCUUGUUCAAGAUCAUGUUGGGGAUAGAAGACAGAGUGAGAAUGAGAAAGCAGAGAUGUUCAUUUGUUUUAUGAACAUUUACUUAUCUGCCAAGGUCUGUAGCCCUGGCCUUCCCUGUGAAGAGCAGCAGCCUGAACCAACGUUCAGUGGCCGGGGCUGCCGAGCCAGGACCUUACGGGGCUGCAGCCUGUGCUGACCCAGGGCCUCCACAGUGCUUUGCUUGCAGAUCCCCC